AAAUUCUAGGUCAAACUUAUACCUCAUAUACAUUUUUUGCAGACUGAACCUUUAUCAUUCGAGGGAUAAUUAAAAAUAACUUGCCAUAAAUGUUCAUACUAUGGUAACUCCAUGUUUGGUGCAAAGCCUGUAUCAUAGUUUAUGCAAUGCUAAGGUCAAUACUCAAAUUAUUAGCUAUAUGCACAUUUUGCCAUUACUGCAUUUAAAAACAUAAAGUUUAUCUUUUAAGCUCACCUGAGCACAAUCUGAUCAUGGUGAGCUUUUGUGAUCGCCUUUUUUGUCACCUGUCGUCAACAUUUGCGUUGUUAUCACUCUCAGUGUGGCCAUACCACGUGGUUUGUGACGUCAUUUUGGCUAGCACGCUAAGUAGAAAUUUGUCAACAUUGGCCCCGCUUAGAAAUUUCAAAUCCACAUACACAUGAUGACGACCGAAGAGCGAUAUAUUUGUGCCAUAUGCGCCAGAGGGGUACAAGCACAGGCGCUAUUUGGUUUACCAUGAAAGAACACACGCUGGGAUGUUAACCUUUAACUGUUGCGGCGUUGGGUUUUCAUCAAGACGACAAUUACAAAGACACAGGUGCAAUGUACACGGUGACGGAAAAACUAUCUUUGCCUUUAUUGUGGAAAAGAAUUCGCAACGAAGGUAGAUUUAGAUGGCCCGAGAACAGCGCACUCGAGAGAUCGAGUGCCAGAUAUGCAACCACAAGGCCACAACACGGGCUCAUCUCCGAGAACAUCUCAAAACACACAGCGAGGAAAACACACACGUUUGCCAUGUGUGCAAAGCCGCCUAUAAACACAUAAGUUCACUGUAUAGGCACUUUGGGCAAAAGCACAAAUGACGUGUAUACAGUGGUUUUACUUGUUUGUGAUUUACCCGUGAUUUAUUUGUGAUUUACCCGUGAUUGAAUUGUUGCGAUAAAAGCAUAAUCAUCAGAUCUCAAGCAUAAUUAACUUUUGAACCGUAUCUGUUUAUACCACGAUGUUUACUUGUUGCGUUUUUUUUUACUUUUUAUUGUACUUUUUAUUGUUUUUUUUUAUGUUUUGUUAAUGCUACUGUUAUAUUAUAGCAGUUGUGAUUUGUAUUGUGAUUAAAAUGUAAUUUUAUAAUUGUGAUUAAUGCUUUAUAAUCAGAUCUCAAGCAUAAUUAAGAUGUGAAUCGUAUCUGUUUAUACCACGAUGUUAACUUGUUGCGUUUCUUUUCUUUUUAUUGUAUUUUAUUAUUUUGUUAACGCUACUGUUAUAUUAUAGCAAUUGUGAUUUAUAUUGUCAUUUGCAUGUGAUUCAAUGAUGCCAUUUAACAUUGUUUCAUUAAUU
Dreissena polymorpha is the source of this 1317-nucleotide long non-coding RNA. RefSeq lists it as uncharacterized. The record is from RefSeq and is a predicted model, not a curated record. Lineage: Eukaryota; Metazoa; Mollusca; Bivalvia; Myida; Dreissenidae. The transcript has 3 exons.